AGACAAUCCAGACAAAACAUGUAAAGAAAAAUUAGAAAAAAAAAAAAAACAAAAUUAAUUUAAUUAAUUUACUAAAAUAUAUGCAUUUAUUUUACGUGACUCUACAAAUAACCAAAUUAUUCUCUCUCUCUCUCUCUCUCUCUUUCCGUUUUUUUUUUUUGCUUCUCCAUAAACUUGAUAUUUCGUGUCGCUUUGUAUAUAUGCGUAUAUGUAAUUCUUAUCAGGCCCUUGACAUAAGGUGUUUUCGCUCUCUGUUUAGUUCCUUGCACUCUUAUCUUUUUCUUUUUUUUUUUUUGUUUGUUGGUUAUUUGCGUGUAUAUUCAUUCCCUUUAUAUCAUAACGAGACAAUCGAACAAGCACACAAAUAAGUAAUGAAAUGGAAAAUCCACCACAAUUAUAUACGUGCGUAUGCCUUCCUUUGCAUGUAUUAUAAAUUUUUGUUUCUUUUUUGUAGGAAACGAACGAAUUAUUCUCAGCAGGUUGUAGAAAGUUAUACCACCAUGCGACGUUAAUGUUGUGUGAGUGUGCGUGUUGCGCUGUGUGUAUAGAUGUGUUUACAAUAUAUUACCUGAACUUCUGACUAGAAUUAUGCAUAAGCAUAUGUGUGUGUGUGUUUCGUGUUUUCUUUAAUAAUAUUUUAACAGAUUUCACGCAUUCGUAUACAUAUGUGUGUGCGGGCGGGCGGGCGCUUGUGUGUGUAUGUGUGUACGUUACUACUUUUUGACGGUUCAAAACGGCAAAUGAAAGAUUUUGUGGAUUGCGUUUCUCUAUUAAAAAAUAUGUAAUGACGAGUAUACCACAGAAGAGAGAAAGUUGGAAAGAGUUGCCAAACUUUUUUUUAUUAUUUAAAUAAGGGUUUUUUUGUUUUUUUAUUAAUUCUUUGCAAAAAGUUGAAAUAAAAUCUACUUAGCGGUCAUUAAGCAAAGAAAGGAAAGUAAGUGAAUCCAACGUAACUCUUUCUUUCUCUCUCUUACUCCAACUAGAAUAAUUUUUUAAUCAUUUAGAAAAAAUGUGUUGAGUAAUCAGAAUUAGAACCAAAACCGGUUUUGGGAAAAUAUUCGCAAAACAUUAGGAUAAAAUCACAAAUUUCAUGAUGCAACACGCAUCCCAUUACAUGGCUUUUAAAAUUGGCCAAGUAGUUAUGGGUAAGGACUUCACGAGUGUCGAUUUGCCGAUUUUGCUUCAAUACAAAUCUGAAUAAAUAUUGCGUUUCAACGCCACAGUUAUAUAGAAAAGCUUCUAUCUCGAAGAAGAGACGCGGAAUAACCCUCGAACCCUGUAAAAAUCGUGUUUAUUUGACUGACAGCAGCCUUCUGACUCAAAGCAACUUCCUAACUCACUACUCUGAAUAAGUAAUAAAAUGAUGAAAUCAUUUCGAAACCAUGCAACGAUUAUCUAAGUCGUAAGUUUCUCAAAAUUAUACUUGUGUGUUUUUGGCGUCUUCUCACUCACGGCUCGUUAUUAGACUAAUCAGAAAUCUUGAAGAAAAUGCCAUAUAAAAAGGAAGAAUUGUCUUGUCUUAGGAUCCAUUUCAUUGUGCAGAUUAAACAGAGAAACCUACCUAAGGAGCAGAGUGCAAUAAAGAUAAGGAUCUAUUUCAGUGCGCAGAUUGAGUAAAAAAAUCUACCUUUCGAGCAAAGUGAAGUAAAGAGGUAAAGAUCUAUUUUAUUGGUCUCUGAAAAGUAGCGGCAAUAGCUAGCUAGGAUGCAAUGAACUUAGUAUUCGCUCUUUUAUCCGCUUAUUAAAAAUUGAUUGAUUCUGACGACUUUGUUGUUUAGAGAAAAAUAAAUAGAAUUCUUUUCCUUAUUUUUUUGUGGACUAUAUUUACCAUGGGAACCAUUUUUAAUCUGAUGUAUAUGGAAUUACUUUUACUCCGCAUAGUCUAUCGUGUUUAUGGCGGCAGGAGGGAUUACAUUUGCGUAUAAAUUUCGUUUCCAUCACUCAUGUACAUAUUCCUACCUAUAGAAAUUUAUCGACCUUUCUUAAAACGUAAUAGUCCUUCUCCUCCUUGAAAUCUCAUAUCUAACUAUUCUUGCAAAAAUAAUUGUUUUGCUGGGUAAAAAUAAUUGUUGAGAGCAAAUGUAUUUCAUUGUAUCUUCCUUCAUAUAUAAGACCGUAAAGAUCUCAAUCACAAACAUCGGCUAGAAAAGACUAAUUGAAGAUCUCAGGUAUGAUUAUAUACAUUCCUUAUAGGAUAUAUCUAGUGGACUGAAUGAAAAUCGCAGAUUUUUGAAGGACAUAUGCCAAAAUCACACAGAAGCUUACUAAUCAUAGACUGGAGAAGUGUUGUAUUAUCCCUUCUUACAGUUAUUUAGCUAUUCGUAAAGCUUGUGGGCUCUUGUCUUCCCGGUUCUUAAAUCCUUACACUUGAAUGAAGUUGAACUUUCCCAUCGAAAUUUUCUGGACUGUAAAAGAUUUCAUAAAACGAGACACAAGGGCCCCAUAACGAUGCCUAAGAAACCUUAGUAUAAGCUCUUAAGAUUAAUUAAUCUGUUACUCCUCCUUAGGAAAGUGUGCAAAAAAAACCUUUGCAUGUCCAAAUUAGUUUAGGGACUAGUUCUUUUAGUUAAGGGAAGAUAUGGUAAAUUAUUUCAGAAAUACUUCAGAAAUUAAAUACGGAAGGUCCUUCUUUGUUUUGAUUAACGAAACAGUUAUUAAAUAUUUAUUUUCUAAGUUUUACCCCAUAAAAAGUAUGCAAAUUUUGAAGCCUCUUGUAUGAUCUAUUAGUUUCCCUAUUUAAGAAGAAGCUUGUUAGACAUUUCUAAACUUGUCUUCUGUAUAUUUCUUUACACUUAGUCUUAAUCUGGCCUAUCACAGCCAACUUGCUUUGUUUCGAGUUUAUUACUCACUUUACCGGGGGGGGAUUGCAAUUUCUGCCAACAGAUAUUAGAUUAGAGCAAAUAUCUUAAAAUAGGUCUUGAACUCUCAGCAAGCAUAAAAACGUCUCAUUGACUUCCCCGAAGGAAUGUAUGAGAAAUAAUGCAGAUCGACGUUCUUCGAAGCUGAAGGUAUACCUUACAUUUGCUGCGAGAGAAUAAAUGGCAAACAGUACAGAUCCAAAUUCUUCGAAGGCGAAGGUAUAAUUUAUGUAUGGUGGAGAUCCAUAUUUUUGGAAGGCGAAGAUAACAUUUGCAUUUUGUACGAAUUAUAUAAAAUUCGAAAUCAAAAUUUUAUUUGUAUUAGAAAACACAGCUUACUCUUGAAGCGAAGUAUUGUAAAAUCUGGCAACAUUUGCAUGUAAGAAUAUUUAGCAAAAGAAAA
Long non-coding RNA from Glossina fuscipes, 3261 nucleotides. RefSeq lists it as uncharacterized. The transcript has 2 exons. The record is from RefSeq and is a predicted model, not a curated record. NCBI's taxonomy places the organism in Eukaryota, Metazoa, Arthropoda, Insecta, Diptera, Glossinidae.